CUGAAAACAACCUGAUAUCGAGCCCCCUCUUCUUUUUUCUUUGUCUGCAAUGGAGCUUUCGCAAUGUGCCGCGCAAGCGAUCUCAAAGUUCACCGACGACUUGGUGAGCAUUGAUCGUAAGUGUGAUGAAGAGGCAACUGCCCUGCGCCUCGAGUACCGCAGCAAGAUGGAGCCUCUCCUGAUGGAGCGCCGUGAGCUUCUCAAGGGUGUCACCAACUUUUGGUCCGGUGUGCUAUCGUCUCCUGAGACACCGAUCGCAACGCUGCUGAACGGCACCAUUGAUCCUAAGAUUAUUCGCGCUGUCACAGAUUUUCAAGUAGUGACCCGUAUCAGCGAGAAUAAGCUCUACCGGAAGAUCAUCUUUACCUUCCGUCAGAACAUGUUUGUCGAGGAGGGCGAGGUCUCACGAGAGGUUGACACGGACAUGAAAACGACCUCUCUGCAUCCAGUCAAGUGGAAGUCUGGCACUGAGCGCGCGCGCACCGACUCGUUUUUUGCCUUCUUCACAGAGAACUUUUCUUCAGAUCCAGAGGCUGUGAUGGAGGUCACCGAGGCUCUCGACACCAUUUAUCAGGACCCGUUCCUGGCGGUCGAGGCGGACUAAACGCUGCGAUACGGCACUAAACAUCAUGAGAGGAAGGUUAACGCAAGAAGGGUAAAAAAACAAAAGGCGAGUUUUCCUCUUGCUGUCUCAGCGAGGAUAUGCUAAAAAGUCUGGAACCCUAUCACCUUAGAUGUUUGUAAGGCAACAAGUGUACAAGGAACUUGGCCGACAGCACUUUGUGAGCAGGUAGCGGUCAGCAGCUGCUCUUGAUCACUUUGCCUUUCCCUGUAUAUAGGCUCGCUUAGCUUUUCAUCUCAACUGUUGUAUAUGCUCUGCGCUUUUCAAUUUUCUGUUGCUUCUCAUUGAGCGAGGAAAAG
RNAcentral lists this unclassified non-coding RNA (921 nucleotides) under Leishmania donovani. RNAcentral's name for it is "gene:LdHU3.29.3650(CDS-product:Nucleosome_assembl y_protein_(NAP)_putative)". The record is from RNAcentral. Lineage: Eukaryota; Euglenozoa; Kinetoplastea; Trypanosomatida; Trypanosomatidae.